RNAcentral lists this long non-coding RNA (217 nucleotides) under Mytilus galloprovincialis (Mediterranean mussel). The record is from RNAcentral. Lineage: Eukaryota; Metazoa; Mollusca; Bivalvia; Mytilida; Mytilidae.
GUGAAUAUGUUAAAAUAUUCACCACUGAAAAAAUAAAAGACGAUGAGAUUUUGUUACUCAGUAAAGGAUUAAAAUAUCUACCGUCUCCCUCGACGAAAUUUGCAAAAUCUAGUAUUGCAUCAGAUUUCAAUGAAUUUGCAAGAAAACUAAGAUGUAAAUAUCAUUUUGACAAGGGUGAUAUUUUCAAACGUCAUCCCUUUUUAACAAAAUCCGGAUA